UCGAACGAUGAAGGGGAGCUUGCUCCCUGGAUUAGUGGCGAACGGGUGAGUAACACGUGAGCAACCUGCCCCUAACUCUGGGAUAACGCUUCGAAAGGAGUGCUAAUACCGGAUAUGAGCCUGGAAGACAUCUUCUGGGUUGGAAAGUUUUUCGGUUAGGGAUGGGCUCGCGGCCUAUCAGCUUGUUGGUGAGGUAGAGGCUCACCAAGGCGAUGACGGGUAUCCGGCCUGAGAGGGCGACCGGACACACUGGGACUGAGACACGGCCCAGACUCC
Molecule: ribosomal RNA, 276 nt
Filed under: unidentified marine bacterioplankton
Lineage: Bacteria
Description: partial 16S ribosomal RNA
Rfam family: Bacterial small subunit ribosomal RNA
Source: RNAcentral